RNAcentral lists this transfer RNA (81 nucleotides) under Aphyllorchis montana. RNAcentral describes it as "tRNA-Leu". It matches the Rfam family "tRNA". Rfam says of the family: Transfer RNA (tRNA) molecules are approximately 80 nucleotides in length. Their secondary structure includes four short double-helical elements and three loops (D, anti-codon, and T loops). The record is from RNAcentral. Lineage: Eukaryota; Viridiplantae; Streptophyta; Magnoliopsida; Asparagales; Orchidaceae.
GCCUUGAUGGUGAAAUGGUAGACACGCGAGACUCAAAAUCUCGUGCUAAAUAGCGCGGAGGUUCGAGUCCUCUUCAAGGCA